GUAAAUUUGAUCUUUCAGGGAAAUUAAUCUAUUCUGAAAGGCAAUAAAAAUGAAGAAGGCAAGGCAAAGCGAAGGAAGCGCUGAUGGUUUGAGAUACUGCAUAAGGGAUUUUAUUUUUUUUUCUCCUAUUUUUAAGAAAAAUUUAGGCCUGAAAUGUUUUCUCAACUUUUAUUGUACUAUGUAUAUUAUAUUGUCGUUGUGGCGGUGAUUUUUAAAGGGCAAAGUGUUGCUUCUGUUAAUUUAGCGUCCAUCCUGGUGGACCUGGUUAAUGACACACACAUAAGUAUACAUCUCCUUCUGAAGCACUGUAAACAGCAGCAAAGCUGUUUUCAGAGAAGGGUUUGGGUUUUCCUAUCAUCCCUUUGAAUGCUACACAUCCGUCUAGUUGAACCCACUCGUUCACAUUUCAGGUAUAUUUCCUUCUUUAGCCUCUUCUGCUUACUAUCCAGAGUUCGCUCACUCCCCACCAUAGGAUUUUGUCCUAUGUCAAAUGGAGAAACUAAGUUUAUUACCCCAAUAGACAUGCUGCCUCAUUCCAAAGAGCUUUCAUUGUCAUCUUGAGGUUCCAGGUAGGGAGAGAAGAAGUCUGACCUGCAGGGGUCAACAGCCAUGAGGAGGGGGAAAGGUUAUAUGAUUCAGUCACAGACAGAAGUCCAGGCACUGGGCAGAGUUUGUUGGUUUACAUUUUUAGUCAUGAUUGAUGGGCAGUAUGCAUUGGUGUCUAGCUGAAGAUGUCUUCAAAUGCCCUUACUCGUAGCAGUUUAAACAUUUAGAAUGUGGCGAUCUUAAAGUAUCACUGGCAUAUUAUGUCCA
This 813-nucleotide long non-coding RNA is filed under the name Marmota monax (woodchuck). The record is from RNAcentral. Lineage: Eukaryota; Metazoa; Chordata; Mammalia; Rodentia; Sciuridae.